AUGCCUGCCUCAUCCCGAUCCAGACACAAACGACAUGGCGCAUCCUCUGGUCUUCACUCAGUUCUUUCCGCGCUGAAGACGACGGUUCAGAAGGGAAGAGGCCGCGGAAGCCAGCUGGGCUGUGUCCUGGAGGGCUCCAGGGUGUCGGGCGGUGGGAGACGGGGGUCAGCACCGUUGCUGUCGGCAGGACGCCCCCGACUCCAUCUGGGAAUCGCAGAGCCUCAUUGUGAGUACUUGUGGCAGAGGACAUGGUUGUGUGCGUGUGUGCGAGUGAGUGGAGCAGUCGUUCUUGGAAACUGGAGGGAGGAGACAAGGAGGCUUAAGGAAGUACUACAGAUGGUUCCUGGUGGCUGGCACAGCACGGGUCCCCCGGCCAAUCCUGGUCAGUGCCAAGGGCAGGGGGCACGGGGGACUGUCGCUGUUGCCGGCCGGCCGGCCUGCCAUACGGCUGCAAGGACAAGAAAACAGGAGGAUAUAGCCAGGCCCCCUCGGCUGGCGGGGAGACCUCCGCAGAGCUCCCAGCCCGGGCACGCGCGGUGCUGGCCCAGUGACCGCCGCAGCUCGUCCCAGCCGCGGGGACGUCGCGGGCUUCUCCCUGUGUGUGUGCUCUCUCUGGUGUGUUGCGCAGAUUGCCAGCGGGGAAGCCUCCGCACUGAGCAGGCCAGAGAUGUCCCUACCAAGUUGGAGAGGAAGGUGAAGCCAUCCCUUUCUGUAGCCAAAGAGCCCCUUCUCAGAGAACCCCAGAGGCAGACGAGCUGGCACCCCCACUCCUCUUCGGGCAGUAAUGACAACGCUGGUGAUGCCACCCAUCCCUCCUUGUCUCUCCUCUCUUGCAUGUGUUUCGAGCCUGCACGCGUCCCUUGAGAGGCUGUGGGCGUGGUCCUGAAUGUUGCUGCUGUCAGGAAGGAAGGCGUGGGGUUCUCGGGGGGCCUCGUGCUGCCCUCGGAGCGGCAGGACUCUCGUGCGAUGCCCUAGUCCCUGCCCCGUCCCCCUGCAGGCCAGCUUCAGUGCAAUCUUGGGCCCUGAGAUGGAAUUUAGCCCGAGAGAAGCCAGCCUCUCACAGGCGUUUGGUGUCAUGGCUCGUGUGGUGGCCCCAAAAGUUCCAGAG
Molecule: long non-coding RNA, 1108 nt
Filed under: Oryctolagus cuniculus (rabbit)
Lineage: Eukaryota; Metazoa; Chordata; Mammalia; Lagomorpha; Leporidae
Description: lncRNA (ENSOCUG00000032729.1)
Source: RNAcentral